GACUGUGCUAAGGUAGCAUAAUCAUUUGCCUUAUAAUUGAAGGCUAGUAUGAAAGGUUUGACGAAAGUUAAGCUGUCUUUUUUUGUGUAAAAUGAAAUUAACUUAUAAGUGCAAAGGCUUAUAUACAACUAAAAGACAAGAAGACCCUAUUGAGCUUACAAAAAUAUUAUGGAAUAAAGUAUAUAUAAAAAUUCUAAUCUUUUUAAGUUUUUAGUUGGGGCGACUUAGGAAUCAAAAAAACUUCCUAGCAUUAAAAUUACUUUUAUGUUUUAUCCAAAAUUUUUUGAUUAUCAGAAUUAGUUACCAUAGGGAUAACAGCAUAAUCUUUCUUAGGAGUUCUAAUCGAAAGAAAGGAUUGUGACCUCGAUGUUGGACUAGGA
This 380-nucleotide ribosomal RNA is filed under the name Pomacea sp. 3 RR-2021. Its description in RNAcentral is "partial large subunit ribosomal RNA". It matches the Rfam family "Bacterial large subunit ribosomal RNA", at positions 1944 to 2542 of the family's 2925-position model. Lineage: Eukaryota; Metazoa; Mollusca; Gastropoda; Architaenioglossa; Ampullariidae. The record is from RNAcentral.